GGCGGGGGGGGGGGCGUGAAAAUACCCCUGAAACACGGAAAGAAGAGGCCACUGUCAGCUCUUGCAGAGACUUGGUCCGACAGACUCAGCGCUGCACGAAAACACAAGGAUCCCUGAACCCAGCCAGUGGCCAUUGCAUGCUUCAUAACCUCAGGCAUGUCACUCAGGGGGUCAGCCUAUUUUAGGCGUGAAUCAGGAGCAACUCAACUGAAAUCCCCGGGAACUCGCAGAUGUAUAAUAAUAUUGAGUUUUGUUUCGCUCUCACUUACAAAAAUGAGAACUAUUAUAAUAAUUGGAGCAUUUUCUUUGGGAAUGUGAAGCCUUCAUGAAAUACUUUAGCAAAUUGUUGAGAAAAUAAAAACUGAUGUCUGGAAAUAUCAUUA
This is a long non-coding RNA of Chroicocephalus ridibundus (black-headed gull), 383 nucleotides long. RefSeq lists it as uncharacterized. The transcript is spliced from 3 exons. NCBI's taxonomy places the organism in Eukaryota, Metazoa, Chordata, Aves, Charadriiformes, Laridae. The record is from RefSeq and is a predicted model, not a curated record.